CCUACGGGUGGCUGCAGUGGGGAAUAUUGGACAAUGGGCGCAAGCCUGAUCCAGCCAUGCCGCGUGAGUGAUGAAGGCCUUAGGGUUGUAAAGCUCUUUUGCCGGGGACGAUAAUGACGGUACCCGGAGAAUAAGUCCCGGCUAACUUCGUGCCAGCAGCCGCGGUAAUACGAAGGGGACUAGCGUUGUUCGGAAUCACUGGGCGUAAAGCGCACGUAGGCGGAUCAUUGAGUCAGAGGUGAAAUCCCGGGGCUCAACCUCGGUACUGCCUUUGAUACUGAUGGUCUCGAGUCCGAUAGAGGUGGGUAGAAUUCCUAGUGUAGAGGUGAAAUUCGUAGAUAUUAGGAAGAAUACCGGUGGCGAAGGCGGCCCACUGGAUCGGUACUGACGCUGAGGUGCGAAAGCGUGGGGAGCAAACAGGAUUAGAUACCCCAGUAGUC
This 440-nucleotide ribosomal RNA is filed under the name uncultured bacterium. RNAcentral's name for it is "partial 16S ribosomal RNA". It matches the Rfam family "Bacterial small subunit ribosomal RNA", at positions 338 to 795 of the family's 1533-position model. The record is from RNAcentral.